RNAcentral lists this ribosomal RNA (465 nucleotides) under Vreelandella stevensii. RNAcentral describes it as "partial 16S ribosomal RNA". It matches the Rfam family "Bacterial small subunit ribosomal RNA", at positions 338 to 795 of the family's 1533-position model. Lineage: Bacteria; Pseudomonadati; Pseudomonadota; Gammaproteobacteria; Oceanospirillales; Halomonadaceae. The record is from RNAcentral.
CCUACGGGUGGCAGCAGUGGGGAAUAUUGGACAAUGGGCGAAAGCCUGAUCCAGCCAUGCCGCGUGUGUGAAGAAGGCCUUCGGGUUGUAAAGCACUUUCAGUGGGGAAGAAAGCCUUGGGGCUAAUACCCUCGAGGAAGGACAUCACCCACAGAAGAAGCACCGGCUAACUCCGUGCCAGCAGCCGCGGGAAUACGGAGGGUGCGAGCGUUAAUCGGAAUUACUGGGCGUAAAGCGCGCGUAGGCGGUCUGAUAAGCCGGUUGUGAAAGCCCCGGGCUCAACCUGGGAACGGCAUCCGGAACUGUCAGGCUAGAGUGCAGGAGAGGAAGGUAGAAUUCCCGGUGUAGCGGUGAAAUGCGUAGAGAUCGGGAGGAAUACCAGUGGCGAAGGCGGCCUUCUGGACUGACACUGACGCUGAGGUGCGAAAGCGUGGGUAGCAAACAGGAUUAGAUACCCGGGUAGUC